Non-coding RNA from Equus caballus (horse), 4476 nucleotides. The record is from RefSeq and is a predicted model, not a curated record. Lineage: Eukaryota; Metazoa; Chordata; Mammalia; Perissodactyla; Equidae.
CUAGAGUGGAGAGGAGGAGGACAGAGAGAGAAAGAGGGAGAAAGGCAGAGGGAAAGAAAAGGGAAAGCGUGAAAGAACUAGUUCUCUCCAACCGGACAGCGUCUUGAGGCCACAGUAGUGGCACAGCCGGAUCAAGUGAAGAAUCUAUGCGGAGAGAUUAGGAACUGUGCUUCGCUGUCCACGUUACUCCCACCCACAAGGCCAAGGCAAAUUCUAACCUGGCUAGGCCGGCAGCACCAACGAACUUGAGUACAGAGAAGCUGCAGAACUCGCAGCCUAGGAGCCUUCCCCGGAUGGGCCCGGUCCUUACCCAGGAGCUCACCAGGCGCUCAAGACUGUGGCGCUCAGCAGCGCUACUAGGAAAUGCCACAAAGCUGAGGGCUGCCUGAGAAGGGGAUUUUGCCUCUCAGCACUGUCCAUGCCUCCUCAGGAAGCUCUGUGGAGUGGGAAGUAGGUCCCAAGAAGAGGAGAGGAUUUUUUGAGGAGAAAGAGCCGCAGCAGCCCCAGCCGGGACUUUGUGCCUCACCGACUAACUGCAGAAAGCAGCUUCCCAGGCCGCAGGUUGGGAAGGACCAGUGGCCAUAGGUGAGAAUGCUUGAGAUAGUGGAGGCUAAUAAAAUAAAGAGAAAGACAAUGAUCUAAACUUGUCUUUUUUAACCUUUUUGGAAGUGAAGUCCCCUUUGGAAAAUCUAAGGCCAAGUUCUGACUCUUAUCCUGUGAGAAACGCACAUCUGUACAUUCCCACAAUUUGACCCAUCGUUUUCAAGGAGUUCACAGACCCCCUCAAAGGCUUCUCCAUGGGCCCUCCAGAAUAUUGCAGAACUCUGGAAAUUCAGCGACCUGGCCAAUUUGACUGGUAAGACAAGCAGGGUGUCUCAUUGUAGGCAGCUCAGGCCCUGUCUGGUCAGGGCCCUGUAGGGUGGCCAAAUGGGCUUCUAGGCUGGAUGGGAUCCAAGACCGGGUGUGCUCCAACUAAGGUUACAAAAGUCACCUUGGUACUGCAUCUGCUACAAGAAGGCUGCCCCGGCUUCGGCUGCAGAGUAGAAGAGGUGGAAGGCCGGCUGCAGACUCUCAGACCGUGGCAUUGGCACUUGGGUCUUCACCACCCUUUGGGGAGAGCUGGAUGUUUUUCUCCAGCAUCUUUUCCCCCUUGUAAUAGACCAAAAGGAAUGUUUGGUUUGUGCUGUUUUUUGCUUUUAAAAAAGCUGUGUAAGCGUGUGUGGGAACCCCUCUAUGGCCCAGAACCACCACCCCACCCCCACCGGGGCUUGCUGAGCCGACAGCCAACGCAGAGCCUGCGGGUGUGCCUGGGACGCAGACUGGCCUGGCGCUGCUGCUGGUUCGGAGAGAAGACAUCCACGCAGCAGAAGCUCACGUUAAACGUGGCUGCCCUCAGCCCUCCUGGAGCUUCCAGCAAGACUCCACACUCCCACAGAGGUGUUAGCUUCCUCAAUAGACUAGUCCAUUUAUCCAUCACCUUGGCUUUCCUGAGAUUCCCCACCUUCUGGAGAUUAAGAAAAGCGAUUCAGUUACAGCGUUAGUCGGCUUCACCUUCUGGACACACGCUCUCCCUCUUGCCAUUUGCCUUCUUUCCUUCUCUCCCUUUCACCCUCCCUCUCAGCUGCUGAAUUUCUCUCCCGUUCUCAGGUUGCCUUUGACUUAAAACUCUCGGUGCCUGCUUGCUUCAGCCAGGCCUGUGGAGCAGUUCUGUGGCAGCCAUCGGGGCCCACGUUCCAUUUAGGAGUAAAUAUCACCCAUUUCUACCUGAGUAAUAACACUCUUCCCUCCCCCAUGGUUAUGGAGCCAAAGUAAAUGCCAGGCAGGUCGAAUAAGCCCUUUGGUGAAGAUUACAAUGCGGUUCACCAGGCAUCAGAUUUGUCCUCCUGAGUAAACCCUUGCAAAUGAUGAGAAAUAAUAAACUACCACCAAAAAAUUCUUUUUAAAAAUACGAGGUAUUGAGAUUGAGAUAGCCAGUAAACAAUUUGUAUCUGAAGGUCGCUCUCAAUGCUUUCAGGGCUCAGAAUUAUCUGACUGGCUAUGGAGUUGGGCUGCGGCCCCACAGAGGGAAAUAAACACUACUUCCAUGUGUCCGGCUUUAACAAAAAUUCUGGACUCCUCUGAUUCACGUAUUUACUGCCGAAUUAGAAAUUUUUUUGGUAAGCAAUGAUGUUCUUUUCUCGUCCAUCUUUAAGAAUGUCAGCAUUUCCAGGGAUACUGGAUGUGUGCAGUCAAAUACCAGGUGCAAUAUAUCCCUCAACAACCCACUUUAAAAUUUUUUCUAAAUCCAACCACUGAACUAGCCCUUCUCUCCUGAUGAGGAGAGUGUUCGGGCCUUUUCACACACCCCCUAAAUUGCAAUGUCCUUAGUUUUGUUCAUAACAAAAUUGCAUCUGGCCUUGAAACGAGAGGUGGCUCUGGGAUUUUAGAGAGGGCUCGGCUGCAGAGAGUGCCGUGUGGGCACCCAAGCCUUCCUGUGGUUGCCUUCUUCUGGCAGUAUUUGGAGCUCCUGCUCAACAAAGACUAGUGACUUUCACAGGCAAAAACCACACACAUGCAAGCAGCCCCUACUUUCUCUCAGAUUCCCCCCACUCACCUAUGCAUUGUAUAUUUGUGAAAAUAAAAGAACCAUUUCAAGAAACGUAUGAAAACAUAUUAGAAUAAAAAUUUAAAUACAGGAAAAGGAGGAAUUUGAAUCUGGCCUCCGAAAAUGUAAGUGAAAUGAUUAUUUAAAACUUGUUUUAUGACCACCCUGAUGGAGAGAUUGUUCGAUCAGAGUUUAUCCUCAGUGCCAGCUUUUGAAAAUGUAUAGGUAUUUACCAAUACAGUUUUUGCAUAUUUAUAAAAUAUGCAAAAGAUCUCAUCUUUGCAUCUAGGAAAUUGCUUCAAAACCCAAGCCAGGUUUAUAGCGGUACAUUCCAAAUAAACAAUACAGACUUCUCUGGCAGCCUGAAAAAUCAAGUGCGACUUUUCCGAAUUGGCUCUUUUCUAAACAAAGGUUUCCCCCAGGCUGCUUGGCAGACCUAGAGACCUCACCUGGUAGGAAACCAGCGACAACCCGGACGUCUGCCCCAGGGAAUAAGCCCAUCCCAGCGGCCAGGGUCGCUGACCACCUCGUUGUUUGGCGUAGAAACUUUGUUUUCCCCAGUCCCGCCAUCUCUUUUUUAUCCCCAUCGCACCCCCCUAUCCCGGCACAGCCCGGGACCCUUUCGCUUGGAUGCCCCCCAUCUCUGGCUCAUCUCAUUCUGAAUAUUUCUACAAACUCGAAGGAUCGCUUUGGGUGAUUGCUGGCGCAAGGAGCUAAAACCGUCGACUUCCCACUUAGGCCUGCCUCUGCUUUCCAACCUUAGGGAGCGAUGGGAGGGGGUGGGGUGUGGGCUGAGCGCCUGUAGCGUCACCCCGGAGCGCACAAACCCAGCCACUUUCCCCAGCCCUGCUCAGACAUCGGCCACCUCCCCACUCCCGCCCCAGCCAGACUGAAAUUGCUAAACUUGUGGCCUCUUACCUUGACACAUUUCCGAAAUCACUGCCAAGGGAGAGCUGGCUUCUCCGCGCCGCGACGCCUGCGAGGCCUAGAGAAGGUGCGUUGCUUUAAAUUACACCACCAACCACUUCCUGAAGAUUUUGACUUGACGGUCGGUGAGGUUGAGCAUGCGAGACAGCUGCAGGCGCUUCUCUUUGUUGAUGUACACGCUGAAGAAGAACUCCCGCUCCAGCUCGCGGAUCUGGUACUUGGUGUAGGGGCAGCGCUUUUUUCGGGAGGCCUAACAGCCGAGCUGAGCCCACCCAGCUCAGGGAAAGACCCGACGCGAGGCUAAGGCGGCCCUGGAAGGCCAAGUCCGAGUGGCAUUUCUUGAAGAGGCUGAGACGGGCAAGGCUGUGACAUUGGCCCUGGCGACUGGUUUCCCAUGAGCUCUUCUUUCUCAGGAGCUCCAAAGCGCAGGGCCAUCUCCAGAAAACAGACAUCAACGUGUAUUUCCUUUUAUCGUCAACCCGGAGCCCCUCGGCAGCAAAUGCAAGAGGCCAAAAAUGUUUUGGAGGAAGAAAAACAAAGGCAGGAAGUGGCGGCGGCCUGACGGUGCGUGUGUGUCUGCGGAGAAGGGAGGGAGCCGUUUCAAUCUCUUGUUGUUUUUCCAAACUUCAAGGUCUAGGCAGCUUUCGCAGGGUUGGCCCCGUCGCUCCGCGCGCAGCAUUUGGAGAUGGCCACCCCGAGAGGAGAAGGCUGGCGCCCGCGCCAGCCUUGUUAAGCGGAAACGGCUAACGAGGCGAUUUGCUCAGCAAAGCAGACCGAGCCUUUCCAAAGCUUAGUUUGAUUUGGCCCUAAAAGUGGGGUGGGGGUUGGGGGGUUCCGCAGCGCCUCCCGACUCUCCUCAGGCGGACUGAAUGCGCCCUAGCAGGAGGAUUCGUGCGCCCUGCGCUCCAUGCGCCUUCCCAGGCGGGAUAUCGCAAUAAAGUGUGUCCAGGUGCCUCUGCCCAGCA